UUGGCUCGGUCUAUAUGGUCAGUCAUCCAGAUAGCUUCUGGCUUGUAUCCUCCUUGUAGUGUUGCCAAUGUAUUUGGCAACUGGUUACAUGGGAUUGAUCACAGGUUUAGAACUCUUCUUAGGGUGGGAGCGCUAGCCGUUAUUUGGUCGCUUUGGCUAUGUAGAAAUGAUAAGGUUUUUAACGAUAAAAGUACUUCACUAAUGCAGGUUAUCUACAGAUGUAUCGGGACUCUUCGUUUAUGGUCCUUUCUACAACGCGUGUAG
This 264-nucleotide ribosomal RNA is filed under the name Triticum aestivum (bread wheat). Its description in RNAcentral is "partial small subunit ribosomal RNA". The record is from RNAcentral. Lineage: Eukaryota; Viridiplantae; Streptophyta; Magnoliopsida; Poales; Poaceae.